UACGAAGGGGGCUAGCGUUGCUCGGAAUUACUGGGCGUAAAGCGCACGUAGGCGGUCUUUUAAGUCGGGGGUGAAAUCCUGGAGCUCAACUCCGGAACUGCCUUCGAUACUGGAAGACUUGAGUCCGGGAGAGGUGAGUGGAACUGCGAGUGUAGAGGUGAAAUUCGUAGAUGUUCGCAAGAACACCAGUGGCGAAGGCGGCUCACUGGCCCGGUACUGACGCUGAGGUGCGAAAGCGUGGGGAGCAAACAGG
This 253-nucleotide ribosomal RNA is filed under the name uncultured bacterium. Its description in RNAcentral is "partial 16S ribosomal RNA". It matches the Rfam family "Bacterial small subunit ribosomal RNA", at positions 524 to 776 of the family's 1533-position model. The record is from RNAcentral.